ACUCCGUUGGUGAACCAGCGGAGGGAUCAUUACAGAGUUGCAAAACUCCCAAACCAUUGUGAACGUUACCUAUCCCGUUGCUUCGGCGGGCGGCCCGGGCCCCGCGCCCGGCGCCCCCCGGCCCCCCGUGGGCGCCCGCCGGAGGUAAACCAAACCCUUGAAUUGCAUGGCCUCUCUGAGUCUUCUGUACUGAAUAAGUCAAAACUUUCAACAACAGAUCUCUUGGUUCUG
Molecule: unclassified non-coding RNA, 231 nt
Filed under: plant metagenome
Description: partial contains small subunit ribosomal RNA, internal transcribed spacer 1, and 5.8S ribosomal RNA
Source: RNAcentral